CAGCCGCCGCGGGAAAACGAAGGGGGCUAGCGUUGUUCGGAUUUACUGGGCGUAAAGGGCGCGUAGGCGGACUGAUAAGUCAGGGGUGAAAUCCCAAGGCUCAACCUUGGAACUGCCUUUGAUACUGUUUGUCUUGAGUUCGAGAGAGGUAAGUGGAACUGCGAGUGUAGAGGUGAAAUUCGUAGAUAUUCGCAAGAACACCAGUGGCGAAGGCGGCUUACUGACUCGAAACUGACGCUGAGGCGCGAAAGCGUGGGGAGCAAACAGGAUUAGAUACCCGAGUAGUCCCUGUCUCUUAUAC
Molecule: ribosomal RNA, 301 nt
Filed under: uncultured bacterium
Lineage: Bacteria
Description: partial 16S ribosomal RNA
Rfam family: Bacterial small subunit ribosomal RNA
Source: RNAcentral